Molecule: ribosomal RNA, 494 nt
Filed under: Megaelosia goeldii (Rio big-tooth frog)
Lineage: Eukaryota; Metazoa; Chordata; Amphibia; Anura; Hylodidae
Description: partial 16S ribosomal RNA
Source: RNAcentral
AUUUUAGAGUAAUUCAUGUAAGGUACAGCCUGCUUGAAACAGGAUACAACCUGGAUAUGAGGGUAAACAUUUCCUUUAAGCGACAAAGUGGGCCUAAAAGCAGCCACCUUUCAAAAAGCGUCACAGCUUUAUCGCACAAUAAACUAAUUCCAAACAUUUUAAUGAACCCCACCUCCAUAUCAAGCAAUUCUAUAUUAUUAUAGAAACUUUUAUGUUAAAACUAGUAACAAGAAGAAGAACUUCUCCACAAUGCAAGUGUAAAUCAGAAAGGACCCACCACUGAUAAUUAACACCUAUGAAUCUAUAGUAGUAACCCAACAAGAAAACUCUACUUAACCUAAUGUUAACCUAACACAAGAGCAUUACAGGAAAGAUUAAAAAAGAAAGAAGGAACUCGGCAAACUUUAACCCCGCCUGUUUACCAAAAACAUCGGCUUUUUGAUCAUAUAAUAGGACCAGACUGCCCAGUGACUCUGAUUAACGGCCCGCGGAUC